GACGUAGGGGGCGAGCGUUGUCCGGAUUCAUUGGGCGUAAAGCGCAUGUAGGCGGGCGAUUAAGUCGGGUGUGAAAUCCCUGGGCUCAACCUAGGAACUGCAUCCGAAACUGAUCACCUUGAGUAGUGGAGAGGAAAGCGGAAUUCCGGGUGUAGAGGUGAAAUUCGUAGAUAUCCGGAGGAACACCGGUGGCGAAGGCGGCAUCCUGGACCGGCAUUGACGCUGAACAGCGAAAGCCAGGGGAGCAAACGGG
RNAcentral lists this ribosomal RNA (253 nucleotides) under uncultured bacterium. RNAcentral describes it as "partial 16S ribosomal RNA". It matches the Rfam family "Bacterial small subunit ribosomal RNA", at positions 524 to 776 of the family's 1533-position model. The record is from RNAcentral.